AGAGUUUGAUCAUGGCUCAGGACGAACGCUGGCGGCGUGCUUAACACAUGCAAGUCGAACGGAAAGGCCCUUCGGGGUACUCGAGUGGCGAACGGGUGAGUAACACGUGGGUGAUCUGCCCUGCACUUUGGGAUAAGCCUGGGAAACUGGGUCUAAUACCGAAUAGGACCGCGCGCUUCAUGGUGUGUGGUGGAAAGCUUUUGCGGUGUGGGAUGGGCCCGCGGCCUAUCAGCUUGUUGGUGGGGUAAUGGCCUACCAAGGCGACGACGGGUAGCCGGCCUGAGAGGGUGACCGGCCACACUGGGACUGAGAUACGGCCCAGACUCCUACGGGAGGCAGCAGUGGGGAAUAUUGCACAAUGGGCGCAAGCCUGAUGCAGCGACGCCGCGUGAGGGAUGACGGCCUUCGGGUUGUAAACCUCUUUCACCAGGGACGAAGCGCAAGUGACGGUACCUGGAGAAGAAGCACCGGCCAACUACGUGCCAGCAGCCGCGGUAAUACGUAGGGUGCGAGCGUUGUCCGGAAUUACUGGGCGUAAAGAGCUCGUAGGUGGUUUGUCGCGUUGUUCGUGAAAACUCACAGCUUAACUGUGGGCGUGCGGGCGAUACGGGCAGACUAGAGUACUGCAAGGGAGACUGGAAUUCCUGGUGUAGCGGUGGAAUGCGCAGAUAUCAGGAGGAACACCGGUGGCGAAGGCGGGUCUCUGGGCAGUAACUGACGCUGAGGAGCGAAAGCGUGGGGAGCGAACAGGAUUAGAUACCCUGGUAGUCCAA
RNAcentral lists this ribosomal RNA (773 nucleotides) under uncultured bacterium. RNAcentral describes it as "bacterial SSU rRNA". It matches the Rfam family "Bacterial small subunit ribosomal RNA", at positions 8 to 798 of the family's 1533-position model. The record is from RNAcentral.